UGUUUCACUUGAAGAAAACCUAAUAGAGAAUUAAAAGUCAUUCAUAGAGAUUCCCUUGACAAUUUGUCUUAGUACCUUUUCGGUCUUUCAAAUUUUUAAUGUAUAUUCAUAAUCUUAUUUUAGAAUAUAUUGGUGUGAUACUGAUGGAAAAGGGGGGGGGGGCAGGGUUCAUCACCCACAGAUAAUUUGAGAAGCAAUGAUGUAGCCAACAUUAGAAUCAAGAAAUUCUAUUCAUGGAAAGGCAUACAAGGAUGAAAAGCCACAGAAUGGGGGGAAAAUGUUUGCAGCACAUUAAUUAUUAAGAAAGUUAUAAGAAUCAAUUCAAAUAAAAAUGGGCAAAAAACAUGAACAGACAUUUUACAUGAGGGAUACUGAUGUCUAGUGAACAUGUGAGGAGUGUUCGGCCUCACUAUCACCAGGGAAGAGACUGUUAAAACCACAAGGAAAGCCAGACAGCCACCAGAUCUCCAGAAACAAGGAAGUCUCAUCAUUCCCAGCGUUGGUGAGGACUCGGAGCCGCAGGAGCUCUCUGGUGGGCGAGCAAGCCAGUGAGAGCCUUUGGAACACUCUGGAAGCAUUUGCUAGAGCCGAACAUAAAGCCGGGCCAUGAGCAGUAAUUUCAUUCAGAGACCUAGUCCUAGGAACCAAGGAGAAUGUGUGCACGAACCCAGUGAUGAAAGCAGCAUGAUCUGUGAUGAAAGCAAAGUGAAAACAAGCCAGUGGCCACCACCAGGGGACUAGGUAAGUGGAUGUGCGCUGUUCACACUAUGGAACAGUAAACAGCUGUGCACACUGUCAGCACACAGUUUCAGACCAAGACAUCAAUGAAGCUCAUGGCCUGUACUUCUGUCCAUCUGGUUCCCUCACGGGACCUGCAGGACAUUUCAGGGUCAGACUGUCCUAUACAUUCAGCGCUGUCCUAAUGCUGGAGUUGUUCCUGUCUGAAGAACCUGUCCCUACUUGGUGCCCAAACAUCAUGGGGGUGAGAGAGGGUCUUGAAUGAGAGGGCCCUGAGCUCUCCUGGUCAUCACUGUGGUUGUCGUCACUGCUGUUAAGAGCAUUUGACCCUCAACAAGCUGGUUCUUGAACCACAGGUACCUGUUCAGGUUGUUGUUCGGCCCUCCUGCUCCUCAUAGGCUGGGUGCCUGCCCUUGUCAAAGGGGAUUCCCAGCUCCUGUUGCUGCUCCCUGCUGUGGACCCUGCCUUUCUGAUCUACCUCCUCAGGGGCCUGGGGAUGGCAUGGGGUCCAUGAGAUUCUUAGUUCUUACAUCCUUUGUUCCUCUAUUCACUCCCCUUGAGGAUGAGGCAGUAGCCCAGAUAGAUGACUGGGUGGAAGACACAAUGAAAAUGUUAAGACAUUGAAUGAAUGCACCGAGGACCCAAGACCUUCCUUUUCCUUCAGGAAAUAACCAGCUGCCUCUCUUCCUACCCAGCUGUAGGGCCCUGCAGCCCCUUAAUCACUGCUUUCAGCACCACUUCCCUUCCCUCCCCCCUCGCCCCCAUCAAAGAUUUCAUUUUAAAUUUUGCCUAGUUGUUCCAAUAGCCCUUCUGACUUUUUCCUUCUAGGAGUCCUCAAAAUUGACUCCAAAUCUGCCCCACCCCCACCCCCAUCAGCAUUGAAGUAGAACAAAGCCCAGCUUUGGAAGGAGCCAAGUCACAGGUCAGCUCAGAGCCCUGUGUGGUGGCUCCACGCUGAAAUGGGUAUAUUUUUGUAGUUGUUCUUAUAUAUUUUUUUUUCAAUUACUCAGUCUCAUUUAAAAAUACAGCAUAGGUUAAAAAAAAUGUAUGUUAUACAAAAUUCAAAAGGGAAAAGCUGGGGUACAUGGUGGGAAAAAUGAGUCUCUCUCUCCCCAUCUCCAGCCUCCCAGGCCCCUUCUCCACUAUCACCGGUUUCUGCCAGAGCCAGUGUGUGCAUAUCCAUGAUUGCAGAUGGCGUGUGGAUAUAGCCUUGCCCUAUUUUAAACCCUCAGACAAUAGCACACUGCACACAAUGUUUGCCUUUUCACUUGAAAUUCCUUGGCCAUUUAGCUCUUAAAGGCUUCAUACCACUCCACUAUGUAGAGGCUCCAAAGGCUGCACUGGGAUUUUCUUUCCUACUUUUUGCCCAUUACAAGUGAGGCUGCCGUGAAUAAGAACCCCUGUGUUUCGAUGUCCUUCUCUAGACUGUUUCCUGAGUAGUUAGGAGACUGUUUCAUGUUUCAUUUCCAGAAAAGAGGAUGUGGGAAGGGAGGGGUCUUCUGGGGCCUGCUGGGAAAUCAGGGCUCUGCUGUGUACCACCACCUCACCUUGGAGAGCCGGUUGUCACGUUGAGGUGACGUGGGAAAACUCCCAUGAGAACCAUCUGGAUGACAUGCAAUAACACGUUGGUCAAGGUGCUUUAAGAAGUUGAAAACAUACAGAUAUGAGAAGUGUAACUAAUGGGGUAGAUACUGCUGGAAUCGUAUCCUGGAACCAGCCACAUUGCUUUAUGUUUGGAUAGAUGGUAUCCAGAAGGUUGAGAAUGCCCAAUCCAGAUGGACUCAGGGAAAAACUGGGAAUCUAUUGUUGGCUGUAGGAGUUCAUGGGGGAGGGCUGCCUUUAGGCAUGGCUAGAUUCAAAUGCUCAAAUGAUGUCACCAGGAUUCAGUUUCUUUAUCUUAGCUCCAUCUUGUAAUGUACAGUGGUAGCCCCUUGUCUAUGGCGAUAUGUUCCAUGACCCCCCAGUGGGUGCCUGAAACUGCAGAUAGUACCACACGCUAUAUAUACUAUGAUAAAGUUCAGUUUAUAAAUUAGGCACACUAAGAGAUGACCAAUAAUAACUAGUAAUAGAAUAUAACAAUUAUAACAAUAUACUGCAAUGAAAGUUAUGUGAAUGUAGUCCCUCUCCCUCUCCCUCUCCUUCUCCCUCUUCCUUCUCCCUCUUCCUACUCCCCUGCCCCCCUCUCUUUCUGAUAAACAGUCUGAUAACUGAGAUAGCUACUAAGUGACUGAGGAACAGGUAGGGUAUACAGCCAGGAUACGCUGGACAAAGGGAUGAUUCACAUCCCGAGUAGGAUGGGGUGGGAAGGCCUGAGAUUUCAUCAGACUACUCAGAAUGGCAUGUAAUUUAAAACUUAUGAACUGCUUAUUUCUGGAAUUUUCCAUUUAAUAUUUUCAGACCACAGUCGACCAUGGAAAACUGAAACUGUGGAAAGGAAAAGGGAUAAGGGAGGACUGCUGUGUUGGCUCCAUUCUCAUCUGUCUCCCCUUGUGGGGACAAAAUGGCCAUGACGGUCCCAGCCUCGUGGCCUCUCCGGCUUUUGUACAACAGAAAAGGGAGAGAACCUUCUUCCCUAGUAGUUGAACCAAAGGCCCAAACCGACUAUGAUUGGCCAGUCUUUGGUCAGGUGACUAUCCCUGAACCAACCAGAGACUGUGAUUCUCUGGUUGUCCCAACCUUUUCUGGGACUCAAGGCAAAGUCAGCCUCACUGGAGUCCUGUGGACUGAGAAGAAAAGAGUAAAUACAUGAACAUAAACCACGUGCUGGUCUGACAUUAAGUGAAAUGGACACGGGACCAUCGAGAGGGCACACGUUUUCACCGCAUUUGGGGACUUACUGUUCAUGAACCUGUCAUUUAAAAAUUCGGGCUCUGACAGCUGAGUUCCCAUCAAGGAAUAUCUCCGCUUUCUGUUUUGGGGGUGGUAAAAACAACUAGUCCCAUGCAUGUGUUUGGCAAGAAAAAUGUUUACGUACUGAAAUGGCCUUUAAAAAUGUUUCUUUAUGAGACAGAAGAAAACGCUUCCUCCUGCCGAGUAAAGAGGUUUGCCCUACAAAGAGCUGGCAAGAUGAUUUUCGUUUUCCAUCAGAGCUGAGGGAAAGCAAACACACGAAGGCUGAGCACCCUCCCUGGCACAGCCCAGCAGAGGGCAGGUCCCGGAAACCCCUCCGUAUGUGUGAGGAUGUUCAAAUCAGAGCAAAGAGGGGAAAAAGCAAUAAUGGUUUUUUGAUCCAACAUGUGGUUGCUCUUAUAAUAAGCUCAGCCAUGUAUUUUGUCAAAAGGGAAAAGGGAGGAGAUCCCCAAAUAUGCUCCCUCACCUUCAAGUUUUGAAAGAGCUGAUUAUGGGAUGCAGAUGACCCAGAAUUAUGCUAGGAAGUGAUCGCUGAAAUAAAUAAUUGGUGAGCAGAUCUUCAUGUCAUGGGAGCCUGUCAGUCUCGCUGAGCUCCGGGGAGCCCAGCAGUGCUGGCAGUCAGUGGACAGGCCUUCCUGAGGUACGCACCCUGCUCGGAGCCCUGUCCCAUCUCACCAUUCAGCCUCCAGAGCUCCACCCUAAUGUCACUUCCUGAAGAAAGCCCUUCCUGGCUGCCCAGACCAGGCUGGAUCCCGCCACGUGCUCCGAACACCCUGCACUUCGGCUUCACAGCAGCGAUCUGAUUGUCUUGCAAUAGUUACCUAUGGAGUGAACUAGUAACUGAUGUCUGCCUUCCUCUCGACCUCCACCUCCUCCCAGACAUGAGCUCAGGGAGGGCAGGAACUCUGUCUUGCUCAUAGUCGGAUCUCCAGCUCCUGGCACAAUCUGAAUGCUCAUUACAUAUUGAUGAGUGAGGAAGUGAAUGAAAGGAUCGUUAGGAUGUUGUCAGACUGAGAUGGCAGGGAGGAGAAAUUCAGGAGAAAGACAGCCCAAAGGGCCCAAAAUAUUAGAGCAUGGAGCUUAUGACAGUACCAGGCGAAGUCGAGUUCAUUCAUAAAUUCCAGCCUUCGUGAAUGAGCUGGACGUCCGGAAGGUGCCUCGUUCUUUCCCUCACCACUGUGUCCCAAGUGCCCACCAUGAAUGAGUAGGCAGAAGAAGUUUCCCAGCUUCUGUGGGCCCUUUUACUUGUCCCCAGAAAGUCCCCUUUGCACUCCCUCCGUAGCUUUUCUCACCUCCCCCACUCUGUUUAAACUCCUCACUCCACUUCCUCCUGAAAUAAAGGUCA
Long non-coding RNA from Myotis myotis, 4933 nucleotides. RefSeq lists it as uncharacterized. The record is from RefSeq and is a predicted model, not a curated record. NCBI's taxonomy places the organism in Eukaryota, Metazoa, Chordata, Mammalia, Chiroptera, Vespertilionidae. The transcript is spliced from 3 exons.